This 532-nucleotide ribosomal RNA is filed under the name uncultured bacterium. RNAcentral describes it as "partial 16S ribosomal RNA". It matches the Rfam family "Bacterial small subunit ribosomal RNA", at positions 354 to 874 of the family's 1533-position model. The record is from RNAcentral.
UGGGGGAAUUUUGGACAAUGGGCGAAAGCCUGAUCCAGCAAUGCCGCGUGUGUGAAGAAGGCCUUCGGGUUGUAAAGCACUUUUGUCCGGAAAGAAAUCCUUGGCUCUAAUACAGUCGGGGGAUGACGGUACCGGAAGAAUAAGCACCGGCUAACUACGUGCCAGCAGCCGCGGUAAUACGUAGGGUGCAAGCGUUAAUCGGAAUUACUGGGCGUAAAGCGUGCGCAGGCGGUUUGCUAAGACCGAUGUGAAAUCCCCGGGCUCAACCUGGGAACUGCAUUGGUGACUGGCAGGCUAGAGUAUGGCAGAGGGGGGUUAGAAUUCCACGUGUANCAGUGAAAUGCGUAGAGAUGUGGAGGAAUACCGAUGGCGAAGGCAGCCCCCCUGGGCCAAUACUGACGCUCAUGCACGAAAGCGUGGGGGAGCAAAACAGGAUUAGAUACCCCUGGUAGUCCACGCCCUAAACGAUGUCAACUAGUUGUUGGGGAUUCAUUUCCUUAGUAACGUAGCUAACGCGUGAAGUUGACCGCCU